Molecule: long non-coding RNA, 228 nt
Organism: Dermacentor andersoni
Lineage: Eukaryota; Metazoa; Arthropoda; Arachnida; Ixodida; Ixodidae
Source: RefSeq, a predicted model, not a curated record
CCUACAGGCCGCAUACUUGUUGCAGCGAAGACGGAUAGUCGAAAUGCACGGAACAAGGCUUUCCUGGAAGAAGACGUCCACAACUGCGCUGUAUGGUCCGAUGUCACUGGCAGAGAUGCCACGGCCCACUGCAGCAGCAAGAGAAACUGUUCUUGUGGCCAUCCGAAGGAAGAUGUGCAUCAUGUCCUCUUCGAGUGCACUCACAUCUGAUUCACCACGAAGGCACUG